Molecule: ribosomal RNA, 256 nt
Filed under: uncultured prokaryote
Description: partial 16S ribosomal RNA
Rfam family: Bacterial small subunit ribosomal RNA
Source: RNAcentral
UACGGAGGAUUCGAGCGUUAUCCGGAUUUAUUGGGUUUAAAUGGUGCGUAGGCGGCUUUUAAGUCAGCGGUGAAAUUUUGCAGCUUAACUGUAACAGUGCCGUUGAUACUGGGGAGCUAGGAUUUGGUUGCUGUGGGUGGAAUGUGUGGUGUAGCGGUGAAAUGCUUAGAGAUCACACAGAAUAUCGAUUGCGAAGGCAGCUCACAAAGCCAAGAUUGACGCUGAGGCACGAAAGUGUGGGGAUCAAACAGGAUUA